Molecule: long non-coding RNA, 1999 nt
Filed under: Hordeum vulgare
Lineage: Eukaryota; Viridiplantae; Streptophyta; Magnoliopsida; Poales; Poaceae
Description: long non-coding RNA (HVUL_LNC018278)
Source: RNAcentral
UUGUUGUUAGACAAGUACAUUGUGUGCUGCAGUCCAAUUACCCUAGAAAAAAAAUCUCCAAUCAUUUCUCUGCGAGAUCUAUGGUAAUUAUAUUUCUAUGGAUUGACUGCAGAUGAUGUACACCAUUGGUUAUAAGACAAAUUCACGUGGCAUAAUUGCGGACAAAAUAUAAAGAUAUACAUUUUUUGAAAAAGUAGAUGAUAAAACUGAUAUGGCGUUAUUGCGGACAAAUUUGGAAAAUACAAAAAAGUUGGACAGGAGGCAAAUGAGACAAUUAAUAUACUAUGAGUAAUAAUAUAUUACAGGUUUUGCAGCAUCUUAGCAAGGUGAACUUGCUCGUGAGACAUCCUUUACUAAUUCAUGGUAAAUAUCUCUUGGAACUCCAUUAAAUUUGGGGAAACCAUUUCUCACUCAUUCAGUUAAAUUCUAAAUGUAGUAGUUACUGUUUCAAAAAAUAUGAAGUUAUACACCCUCCGUUUCAUAAUAUAGUGUGUAUAGAUUUUUGAAAAGUAAAACUUUGUACAUUUUAACCAAAUUUUUAAAUAAAACUAUUUAUGUGUAAAAUAGAAAAAAUAUAAAAUAUGAAAGUAUGCCUUAUGAGAAUCUAAUGAUAUAAGUUUGGAAUUCUAGAUGUGAAUAUUUUUCUCCACAAAGCGGGUCAAAUUUUGUGAGGUUUGAAUUUCCAAAAAAUCUACAUGCACUACUUAUAGAAUGGAGUGAGAAUAUUAUAUAUUUUAUCAUAAUAUUUUUCAUAUCUGAAAUACAGCUUGGAAUUUGGAAUUAAACAUAUAUAUUGUAUUAAUCUAAAAAUUGUACAUAUAGUUGCUUCGAAUCCAAAGCUUGUUUCUUUUUCUCUUGAAAAUUCCUGUAACUGUACAAAAAAUCACGAUAGAAAACAUUAUACAUUAAUCUUUGAUUCAAAUUUUAAGUUUAGGUCUUCAUAUUUAGGUUAUGUUAAUAGUUAAGCGCACUUAUGCAUAAGGUAAAAAAACCUCAAGAAGGAAGGAGUCCAAAGUAAGCAACUCAAUUAUUCUCCAAUCAGUUCUUUGCGAAUUCUUCGGUAAUUAUUUUUCUAUGGAGUGACUGCAGAUGAUGUACACCAUUGGUUAUAAGACAAAUUCUGGCAUUAUUGCGGACAAAAUAUUAAAAAAAAAUUGGACAAGUAAAUUAUAAAAUUGAUAUGGCGUUAUUGCAGACAAAUUUGGAAAAUACAAAAAGUUGGAUAGGAGGCAAAUGACACAAUUAAUAUAUUAUGAGUAACAAUAUAUUACAGGUUUUGCAGCAUCUUAGCAAGGUGAACUUGCUCGUGAGACAUCCUUUACUCAUUCAUGAUAAAUAUUUUUUGGAACUCCAUUCAAUUCGGGGAAACCAUUUCUCACUCAUUCAGUUAAUUCUAUAUGGAGUAAUUAGUGUUUCUGAAAAUCUGAAGUUAUACUCCCUCCGUUUCAUAAUAUAGUGCGUACAGAUUUUUGAGAACUCAAACUUUGCAAACUUUAAGCAAAUUUAUAAAUAAAACUAUUCAUAUGUAAAAUACCAUAAAUAUAAAAUAUGAAAUUACAUCUUAUGGGAAUCUAAUGAUAUAAGUUUGGAAUUCUAGAUGUGAAUAUUUUUCUCCACAAAGCUGAUCAAAUUUUGUGAGGUUUGAAUUUUCAAAAAAUCUACAUGCAGUACGUUAUAGAAUGGAGGGAGAAUAUUACAUAUUUUAUCAUAAUAUUUUCAUAUCCGAAAUACAGUUUGGAAUUUGCACUUAAACAUAUAUAGUGUACUAAUCUAAAAAUUGUACAUCUAGUUGUUUUGAAUCCAAAGCUUGUUUUUUUUCUCUUGAAAAUUCCUGUAACUGUACAAAAAAUCACGAUAGAAAACAUUAUACAUUAAUCUUUGAAUCAAAUUUUAAGUUUAGGUCUUCAUAUUUAUGUUAUGUUAAUAGUUAAGCGCACUUAUGCAUAAGGUAAAACAACGUCAAGAAGGAAAUAGUCCAAAGUAAGCAACUCAAUUACUU